Non-coding RNA from Oryza glaberrima (African rice), 206 nucleotides. NCBI's taxonomy places the organism in Eukaryota, Viridiplantae, Streptophyta, Magnoliopsida, Poales, Poaceae. The record is from Rfam.
AAUAAGCGCAGCCAUGAAUUUCCGCGCCCAACUUUGAUCGUCCGUCUUAUUUAUAUUUUUUUCAUAAUUAGCAUUUUUAUUGUUAUGAGAUGAUAAAAUAUGAAUAGUACUUUACUUGUGACUUAUAUUUUUAAUUUUUUUUCUAAAAGUUUUCAAAUAAGAUGAACGGGUAAAGUUGGAUGCGGAAAAUCAUGGCUGCACUUAUU